This 443-nucleotide ribosomal RNA is filed under the name uncultured Clostridium sp. RNAcentral's name for it is "partial 16S ribosomal RNA". It matches the Rfam family "Bacterial small subunit ribosomal RNA", at positions 341 to 792 of the family's 1533-position model. Lineage: Bacteria; Bacillati; Bacillota; Clostridia; Eubacteriales; Clostridiaceae. The record is from RNAcentral.
ACGGAAGGCAGCAGUGGGGAAUAUUGCACAAUGGGGGAAACCCUGAUGCAGCGACGCCGCGUGAGUGAAGAAGUAUUUCGGUAUGUAAAGCUCUAUCAGCAGGGAAGAAAAAAUCAAAAUUGACAGUACCUGACUAAGAAGCCCCGGCUAACUACGUGCCAGCAGCCGCGGUAAUACGUAGGGGGCAAGCGUUAUCCGGAUUUACUGGGUGUAAAGGGAGUGUAGGCGGCGAAGCAAGUCAGAUGUGAAAGCCCGGGGCUCAACUCCGGGACUGCAUUUGAAACUGUUUUGCUAGAGUAUCGGAGAGGUCAGUGGAAUUCCUAGUGUAGCGGUGAAAUGCGUAGAUAUUAGGAAGAACACCGGUGGCGAAGGCGGCUGACUGGACGAUAACUGACGCUGAGGCUCGAAAGCGUGGGGAGCAAACAGGAUUAGAUACCCUGGUA